GAGCAGCAGGACCAUGGACAAGUCAGUGCAGGCAGGCUGAGACCAGGGACUUAGCCCAGAACCUAGCCAGACUGGGUGAGGAUACUGGGAUGGGCCCUGCUGGUCUGGUUGAAGACUGAGCCCAAGAAGGGCUGCUGAAAGGACACCAACUGAUGGUACCAAGAUGGACCCCUGUUGGGCUGUUAAAGAAGGCAGUAUCUCCAGGAAGGAAACCUUGGUGCUAUAGCCCCAACCAGGGCUACGAGAAAGAACUAGAGACUGUAUAUCCUGGAAGAGGGAACAGUUUGUGUCACUUGACCAGAAGGCUGAUUUGCUGAACAACUGACCAGAAAGGGAGCGCCUGCAAGAAGCGGGUGCUACCCCUGUUCAAAGCUGAGUGAUUGCAGGCACACAUCGGCCAAAAGGGGGGGCACUCAUGACAGGAUCCACAGAAAGACGCUGCACAUUGUACUGCUGAUGACCAUCUGGCUUGCGAGGAGUUGGAAGAUGCCGUGAGAACGGAGCGGCAACUAGUCUAUGAUCUGAGUUUGCUGGAGCUACUGUGCCACUGAAGACCCAGUAAGGGGGAAAACUCUGCCUGGCUUCUGCAGCAGCUUUGAUUGGCUGCUCUUUCUGAGGAGGCAGGGGAGUGUGGAAGGCAGCUAAUUAAAGGGCUGGAGCAUCUAUCAUCAUCGUGAGACCAGCUGCAGUCCUGUCUGAAAUCACAUGACUCACCAGGAAAUUGUCACCAGUUAAGACUCACACCGUUUCAGAUAAAACAUGCUAAAUAAAAGGUAGCUCAGCUUCACAUCUCAUCUGAACUGCUCAUCAUAACAAAGUGAUCAGAGGAGAAGCAGCACCUGGAAACGUACAGUGCAUCAUUCCUGCCCAUUCACAACAACUGGCUUCCUAAAGCUUUCAAAAUCAGAACAUAACUUUGUAUAAAAGACUCCUACCUUUCCAACAUAUUGAUAAUCAGAGCCUGUGUAUUCCUCCAAGAGAAAGAACUGAUUCCACAUCCAGCUCCUUUUGGAACGAGUAAACUCCUUCCUGCUAUUUCCAGACAGUUCCAAAACCUUUUCCUUUUCUGGAAAGCCCCUAGUCCUUUUGGAUAACGGAGAUGAAAAACUUUGGUGAGGCUGACCAACCCAGAACAGCAGCCAGAAGCAAUGGU
Long non-coding RNA from Mauremys reevesii (Reeves's turtle), 1153 nucleotides. RefSeq lists it as uncharacterized. The record is from RefSeq and is a predicted model, not a curated record. The transcript has 5 exons. NCBI's taxonomy places the organism in Eukaryota, Metazoa, Chordata, Testudines, Geoemydidae.